AAGAAAGAAACUGGAAUGGCUAUUGCCAAAAUACAAGAAAACUAGAGACCCUUGAAACUAGACUAGAAGCAAGAAAGGAGUUGACAAGAGUGAAGAGGGCUUCACUCUUGCCUCUAUAUAUACUAUCUAACUAGAAGCCACGCGGCGAUGUUCUAUAAGACCUCCAAUAUAUGUUGACUUUCUAGGCCACAUGCCUUUGCUUGCAAGGCAAGUUUUCUAUGGAUGGACCACGUAGUUAGCUUGUUCUUUAAGCUUCCAACAUGCGUGGCACAUGGCUAACUUGUUGACCAAGUUUCUAACCUAAAAGUCAACUAUAGACUCCUAUAAAGUCAAAGCAGCGUCUAUGAAGCUUCUAAGAAGCUUCUCUAGAAGAUAUUACACAAUUAACCUACUUUUACAUACUUUUAUCUAUUCAUAUAGGUAAUUAUAUGUAUGUCCGUGACAUUACCCCUCCUUCUAGGGACGAGUUCCACGAGGAGCGGUGAUUAUAUAUUGAGAAAAUCUAAUAUGCGGCGAAUUGUAUUUGCUACAUACUCUGAUCUUUGUUCUCUUCGAAGAUAGUUGAUGGGUCCUCUUAGCCAUCGAUAGUGUCCCAUUCCAGGGCGAGAAGACCACCCUGUUAUUUGAUCACUGUUGAGGCCUUCAUAACUUCCUUCAAAUAAUACAUUUGAAACACCAUCAGGAGUCGUUCCUAUCUCCAAUAAUAUCACCAAACAUCGAGAAUCUCUUCCAAGGUCGUGAUACCAAACGCGUUGUAUCUCACCAUCUAUUCGAGGAAGAACAUGUUGUUCUUGAGGGUCUUCAUUUCGAUUGCGUCGUCUUGAAGGUUGUGACAAUCGCAAUGUCUCAUCCGGUAAGUCAACAAACGAAGGUUCUUGAGUUGAAUCCGCUGGUUGUUGGAUCUCCAUCUAAUUAGCGUCACAAAAUGCAAAGAAGUUACAAACAAGGAUAGGAAAUUGAAUGUUAUCUUGCCUCAAUCUUGUCUCUUUUAUAAGAGAGGUUUUCAUCUUGGUUUUGAUGGAUGUCGUUGAUGAAAAACUUUGACUUUAGCUGAUGCAUUUGCUAGAUUCCUGGAUGGCUCUCAUGUGCGCUCACUAAUAUCAUAUUCGCACCAAUGAACAAGAUAUUCCAGCUUAUUUCGGCGCCGCCUUGAGUCUAAUAUCUCUUCCACCUCAAAUUCUUCAUUAUUAUCUACUUCUAUAGGAGGCGGUGGCAUUUGUCUUCUUCCUUGUAUAUCCACUGUCUUAUAUGGUUCAAGAAGAGACACGUGGAAUACAGGAUGGAUCUUCAUUGACUCCGGUAGAUGUAACCGAUAUGCAACUGGGUUGAUCUGUUCAGAAACAGAAAAGGGGCCAAGCCUACGAUAGUCCAAUUUGUCACAAGGUCGAGUGGUCUUGAUAUUGCGACGAAGUAGCCAUACCUUAUCACCCACGUUGAGUUGUGGUUGCUCUUUACGAUAUACAUCUGCAUUUAUCUUUUGUCGUUCUUGAGCUUUCUUCAACUGCGCCUUCAUUAUUGCAUGUAACUCUGACAACCGAUUUGCCAUAUCUUCUGCUGCAGGAUUAUCAACUUUUGAAAAAUCAAAAGUAUCAAGUCGUGGAUGAUAGCCAUAAUUGGCAAAGAAAGGUGUUUGUUGCGUGGAGGAAUGUACCGUAUUAUUAUAAGCAAACUCUGUCAAUGGCAGAAGGUUUGUCCAAUCAUCUUGUUGGUAGUUGAUGGUACACCUUAAAUACUGUUCCAAGACUUGGUUUACGCGCUCUGUUUGUCCAUCAAUUUGAGGAUGGAAAGCUGAAGAUAGCUUUAUGUCCACUUUUAAAAUCUUGAAAAGAGUCCUCCAGAAUCUCGACACAAAUUGAGUUCCCCUAUCCGAUAUGAUAUCUUUAGGUAAUCCAUGAUAGCGAUAGAUAUUAUCAAUGAAAAGCUUAGUUGUUUCUUCACCUGUGAUAGAUUUUGUACAUGGCAUAAAAUGUGCCAUCUUGGUGAAACGAUCUACUAUCACAAAUAUAGAAUCAUAAGAUCUUGAGUUUGGAAGAUCUGUGAUGAAAUCCAUAGAAACAGAAGACCAUGGUUGUUCUGGUAUAGGUAAUGGCUGAAGAAGUCCGUAAGGUCGAUGUCGAGGAAUUUUUGAUCUUGAACAAAUAUCACAUGAUUGUACAAAGUCUUUGACUGACUUCCACAUUUGUGGCCACCAAAAAUCUCUUGAUAUGAGUUCCAAAGUCUUAUUAUAUCCAAAGUGCCCUGCUGCUGGAAAGUCAUGACGUGCUUGAAGAACACGCAAACGUGCUUUUCCUUCUGGAACAUAUAGGCGUCCUUCAAAAUAUAAUAGAUUAUUCUUGAACUCAAACUUAGAAGAAUCAUGAGACUUGGAAGAAUUAUUCUCGAUAUCAUAAACAAGAGGGUCUGAGGACAUACUGGACUGGAUUUGCUUGAGAAAAGUUGAAUCAACAGUCAGUGUUGAUUUCACUUCUCGGAGAUGAAAUUGCUCCGGUUUCAAGAGGACCGUUCUUUGUUGCUCAAAAGCUGCAUCUCCUUCUUUUGGUGCAAAAUAAGAACGUCUAGACAGGGCAUCGGACAAACCUUGUUGUUUUCCUGGCCGAUAAGUGAUAAUGAAGUCGAAUCUUGACAAAGACAUACUCCAACGAGCUUGACGACGAUUCAACACGCGUGCUGACAUGAAAUACUCGAGGUUCUUGUGAUCUGUAUACACAGUGACUGGACUAGAAGCACCUUCUAGAUAAUGAAGCCAUUCUUGAAAGGAAUCCACGAUUGCAAGAAGUUCUUUAUCGUGGAUCUCAUAAUUGAUCUCGGCUGCUGAGAAUUUUCUUGAAUGAAAAGCUAUCGGAUGAAGUUUGUCAUCUGUUCCCAUUUGUGAUAAAACUACACCCAAGGCAAAAUCCGAUGCGUCUGUUUCCAUAAAAAAUGCCUUGGAAAAAUCAACACGAUAUAAGACUGGUGCAGAGACAAACGAUGUCUUCAAGGCUUCAAAUGCUGCUUCCGCUUCUUGAUUCCAUUGGAAUUUAUCUUUACUAGUCAAGCGUGUAAGUGGAGCUGCAACUCGUGAGAAAUCUUUGAUGAAGAUCCGAUAGUAAUUGGCAAAUCCCAAGAAACAUUGGACAUCUCUCACAGUCUUUGGAAUCUUCCAAUCCAUGAUUAUUUGGACUUUCUUAGAAUCCAUCAUAAGACCAUCAUUUGAAAUGAUGUAUCCUAAAAAGUCAACUUGAGUAGUGUGAAAUACACACUUUUUCAUCUUGGCGUACAAUCCUGCAUCUCUAAGUUUUUGCAAUACUUGACGAACAUGUAUUUCAUGUUCUUCAACAUUCUUAGAAUAAAUCAGGAUAUCGUCUAGGUAGCAGACGACAAAAUUGUCUAAGAAUUCACGAAAUACAUCAUUCAUGAGAUGUUGAAAAGCAGCUGGUGCAUUCGUGAGUCCAAAAGGCAUGACAUUGUAUUCAAAGUGUCCGUACCUGGUUCGAAACGCAGUCUUCCAUUCAUCUCCUUCUUAGAUCCGUACUAGAUUAUAUGCUCCUCUUAGAUCUAUUUUUGUAUAGAUCUUAGCUUGAUUUAACUGGUCAAGGAGUCCUGAUAUCAAAGGUAAUGGAUACCUAUUCUUGAUUGUGAUCUUGUUGAGUCCUCGAUAGUCAACACACAUUCGUAAAGAUCCAUCUUUUUUCUUUACGAAUAAAAUUGGAGCUCCUGCUGGAGAUUUUGAAUGGCAUAUGAAAUUCUUCGCUAAAUUCUCGUCAAUAUAUGUCUUGAGUUCAGCCAACUCAUCUUGCGAUAAACUGUAAAUUGGUCCAAAUGGUGGCUGAGUUCCUUCCUUGAGAUCGAUUGAACAAUCGUAUGGGCGAUGCUCAGGAAGAAUAUCUGCAUUCUUUUUCUCAAAAACGUCUUGAUAAUCUUGAUAUUGACUUGGAAUGCCACUUGAAGUCUUUACGCUUUCAGAAAUAGGUGCAACAUAAAUAGCAAAAGUUGAUCCUUCUUUUGCUGCGUGUAUAAAUGCUUUUGCACCUAUAAGUGCGGGUUUUACUAUACUAGACUCAUGGUUUUUUACUUGAUUAAUAGAACUGUUACUAAUGCUCCGAGGAAAAUCAAGUUUACGAGAAAUCCAAUCUAUUCGAGGAUUAUACUUUUCUAACCAUGAUAAGCCUAAAAUUAUUGGAUUAGAGGGAGAUCUAAUUAUAUUAAAAAUUACGCAACUACUAUGACCAUUUAUUACUACAUCUACAGGAAGUGUUUCGUGAGUUACAUCUCCAGAAGACAACGGACGACCAUCUAUGACUUCUACGUGUACAGGUUUAGUUUUUUGUAUUAAUGAUAUUCUAUGACAUCUAGCAAAUUCUUCAUCUAAAAAACAAGAUGAGGCUCCUGAAUCUAUCAAGGCAGAGGCUUUGUAAUUAUUAGGUCCUAAACGCACAUCUAUUAUAAAACAAGGAGAUGGUUCUGAGGAGAGGAUAGGACCUUCAUUAGAAGUUGUACAAGAUUCCAGCCGCACGGUCCCUAUUGUAGCUGGACGUACUCGUUUUCCGACAUACUGUCUUCUUUGACAGCCGUACUCUUCAUUUUGUAGUUACGUCGCUUCUUUGGACAAUGUUGAGCAGUGUGCUUAGGUUCUCCACAAUAUAAGCACAAUCCUUCUUGUCGACGACGAGACUUUUCUUGCUCAGUAAGAGGUUUCAAACGUACCGCAUCAAUUUGCAUAUCCUCUACUUCUGAAGGUAUGUGUUGAGGAGACGUCGGUGUUGCCAUUGAAUUGUAGUAACGUUGAGGCCUACUUGUGUGACUCUCGGAUCGAAAUUCAAAAAGUCGAUUGUCGCACUUCACAGCAAAGUCAAUUGCUUGACUCAAUGUUUGAGGAUCAGGUAAAUUAAGCAUCAAUUUCUUUACCUCAUAUUGUAAUCCGUAGAGAAAUUGACUCACAAGUGCGGCAUCAUCCCACUUGAUAUCAGUUGCAAGUUGUCGAAAUUGCGAAGCAUAUAAUGUUACUGAUCGAUUGCCUUGUUGCAAAAUACGGAUCUUGUUGGUUGCAACACGAAUUGCAUCAUGUUCUCCAAACAUGGAUCGAAACUCCGCCAAAAAAGCCUCCAGAUUAUCCAAUAUUGGAUCUCGUCGUUCAAGAAAAGAUGAAAACCAUGACAAUGCUGAACCUGAAAGAAGUGUACCAAUGAAUCUAACUUGUGACCCUGGAGUUGGAUAGCUAUGGGGUUGAAGUUCAAUCACUAAUUGGACCUGAUUGAUGAAUCCUCGAAACUUGGAUCUGGUACCAUCAAACUUCUCGGGCAAGGCCACUCUCGGUUCUCUAACACUCGAAGGGUGUUCCAUUCUGGGAGAAGGGACAUGGUUUGGUGCAGAUGUUGAAGCAGCCCCAAUCAUCUCUAUAUCUUCACUUCCUACCAUUCUUGUUGCUCCUUGUGGUGGUAAAUUGAGUUGAUGCAUCGCAAGCAUUAACUCCCUCAAUUGUUCUUGCAUCUGUGCCAUUGCACUCUUCAUUUCAACAAGCUCUGCCAUAGUAGCACUUAAAAAAGAGAAGAUGUCUAAUAACGCUCAAAACAAAUAGAAGAGAGGAAUUGAUAACAAAGAAAAUACUAAGAACAAUAUCAGUUUAAAAGAGGGUAAUCCGCAACUUCUAAUGCGCUUAUGUCUUAUCAAGAAAAAGGGGUAAUCCACUCUUAAUCAAGAAAAGACAAAGCUCUCAUAUUGUAAGUGUACUCUUGUCAAUCUGUCAAGGACAAGAACUCGAUGAAAGCUAAAGAGUAAGUGAGACUUUUUUCAAAGAAAUAGGACAAAAUAGAAAUAUGUAUAUUAAGAAAGAAAUUAGAAUGGCUAUUGCCAAAAUACAAGAAAACUAGAGACCCUUGAAACUAGACUAGAAGCAAGAAAGGAGUUGACAAGAGUGAAGAGGGCUUCACUCUUGCCUCUAUAUAUACUAUCUAACUAGGGGCUACGUGGUGACGUUCUAUAGGACCUCCAAUAUGUGUUGACUUUGUACGACACAUGCCUUGACUUACAAGGCAAGUUUUCUAUGGAUGGACCACGUAGUUAGCUUAUUCUUUAAGCUUCCAACAUGUGUGGCACAUGGCUAACUUGUUGACCAAGUUUCUAGCCUAAAAGUCAACUAUAGACUCCUAUAAAGUCAAAGCAGCGUCUAUGAAGCUUCUAAGAAGCUUCUCUAGAAGAUAUUACACAAUUAACCUACUUUUAUCUACUUUUACAUACUUUUAUCUAUUCAUAUAGGUAAUUAU
Molecule: long non-coding RNA, 6239 nt
Filed under: Physcomitrium patens
Lineage: Eukaryota; Viridiplantae; Streptophyta; Bryopsida; Funariales; Funariaceae
Description: long non-coding RNA (PPAT_LNC002496)
Source: RNAcentral